RNAcentral lists this ribosomal RNA (1448 nucleotides) under uncultured organism. RNAcentral's name for it is "16S ribosomal RNA". It matches the Rfam family "Bacterial small subunit ribosomal RNA". The record is from RNAcentral.
AACGCUAGCGACAGGCUUAACACAUGCAAGUCGAGGGGCAGCACAGGUAGCAAUACCGGGUGGCGACCGGCGCACGGGUGAGUAACGCGUAUGCAACUUGCCUAUCAGAGGGGGAUAACCCGGCGAAAGUCGGACUAAUACCGCAUGAAGCAGGGGCCCCGCAUGGGGAUAUUUGCUAAAGAUUCAUCGCUGAUAGAUAGGCAUGCGUUCCAUUAGGCAGUUGGCGGGGUAACGGCCCACCAAACCGACGAUGGAUAGGGGUUCUGAGAGGAAGGUCCCCCACAUUGGUACUGAGACACGGACCAAACUCCUACGGGAGGCAGCAGUGAGGAAUAUUGGUCAAUGGCCGAGAGGCUGAACCAGCCAAGUCGCGUGAGGGAUGAAGGUUCUAUGGAUCGUAAACCUCUUUUAUAAGGGAAUAAAGUGCGGGACGUGUCCCGUUUUGUAUGUACCUUAUGAAUAAGGAUCGGCUAACUCCGUGCCAGCAGCCGCGGUAAUACGGAGGAUCCGAGCGUUAUCCGGAUUUAUUGGGUUUAAAGGGUGCGUAGGCGGCCUUUUAAGUCAGCGGUGAAAGUCUGUGGCUCAACCAUAGAAUUGCCGUUGAAACUGGGGGGCUUGAGUAUGUUUGAGGCAGGCGGAAUGCGUGGUGUAGCGGUGAAAUGCAUAGAUAUCACGCAGAACCCCGAUUGCGAAGGCAGCCUGCCAAGCCAUUACUGACGCUGAUGCACGAAAGCGUGGGGAUCAAACAGGAUUAGAUACCCUGGUAGUCCACGCAGUAAACGAUGAUCACUAGCUGUUUGCGAUACACUGUAAGCGGCACAGCGAAAGCGUUAAGUGAUCCACCUGGGGAGUACGCCGGCAACGGUGAAACUCAAAGGAAUUGACGGGGGCCCGCACAAGCGGAGGAACAUGUGGUUUAAUUCGAUGAUACGCGAGGAACCUUACCCGGGUUUGAACGCAUUCGGACCGAGGUGGAAACACCUUUUCUAGCAAUAGCCGUUUGCGAGGUGCUGCAUGGUUGUCGUCAGCUCGUGCCGUGAGGUGUCGGCUUAAGUGCCAUAACGAGCGCAACCCUUGCCACUAGUUACUAACAGGUAAAGCUGAGGACUCUGGUGGGACUGCCAGCGUAAGCUGCGAGGAAGGCGGGGAUGACGUCAAAUCAGCACGGCCCUUACAUCCGGGGCGACACACGUGUUACAAUGGCGUGGACAAAGGGAAGCCACCUGGCGACAGGGAGCGAAUCCCCAAACCACGUCUCAGUUCGGAUCGGAGUCUGCAACCCGACUCCGUGAAGCUGGAUUCGCUAGUAAUCGCGCAUCAGCCAUGGCGCGGUGAAUACGUUCCCGGGCCUUGUACACACCGCCCGUCAAGCCAUGGGAGCCGGGGGUACCUGAAGUCCGUAACCGCGAGGAUCGGCCUAGGGUAAAACUGGUGACUGGGGCUAAGUC